Molecule: long non-coding RNA, 695 nt
Filed under: Homo sapiens (human)
Lineage: Eukaryota; Metazoa; Chordata; Mammalia; Primates; Hominidae
Description: long non-coding RNA NONHSAT173387.1
Source: RNAcentral
GUCAAGGGCAAAGUACUGGGACUGGCACCAUCCCCAGAAACUCAGGGGCAGAGGGAGGAGCAGCCCAUUUCCAAGCCGGGAUGCAGUUCCAGGGCAGGCAGUAGAGGCCCAGAGACAGGAUCUCACUAUGUAGCCCAGGCUGGUCUUGAAAUCCUGGGUUCAAGAGAUCCUCCCCCUCUCAGCCUCCAAAAGUGCUGGGACUACAGGCAUGAGCCACCAUGCCCAGUGUCCACAGCAUUUCAACAGAGAGAGCCAAGCCUGCAGCCACCAGUGGCAGGCCCCUAGCUCCCCUGACGCUGAUGGAUUGCAGACACUUUUGAGACAGACACGGUGCAGAGAGGACUUCUCGGACCUCAGCAGAGCUGUGACCCAGGCUGGUGGUUUUGCUUGCUUGCCCAGCCCUCUGUCCAUCCGUCUGUGGCUCCCUUCAAUGCCACCUGCUGAAACCUCCGCCAACACCAGGCCACGUGACAGGGACUACAGGUGCAACCCCCAGCCCAGGAGGAGACUUGACUCGCCUGAGGUCAGCUGGAGCCAGGAACACCUUUGUGCAACAGCUGCCGUGGCCCAUCUGUGAGAGACACGUGGACCCCGUGCCUCGAAACAGGUCCUGGGAGUGGUGUAGGCACCAUGAUCCCCUCAGAAGAUUCAGGGGAAAAAAAAAAGGCCAAGCAAUAAAUGAAGUGAUUUCCAGC